Molecule: ribosomal RNA, 244 nt
Filed under: uncultured bacterium
Lineage: Bacteria
Description: partial 16S ribosomal RNA
Rfam family: Bacterial small subunit ribosomal RNA
Source: RNAcentral
GUGAUAUGGAGCAAAACCCUAAAAAGCGGUCUCAGUUCGGAUUGAAGGCUGAAAUUCGCCUUCAUGAAGCUGGAAUUGCUAGUAAUGGCAGGUCAGCAUACUGCCGUGAAUACGUUCCCGGGCCUUGUACACACCGCCCGUCACACCAUGAGAGUUGGAAAUACCCGAAGCCUGUGAGCUAACAGUAAUGAGGCAGCAGUCGAAGGUAGAGCCAAUGAUUGGGGUGAAGUCGUAACAAGGUACC